This is a non-coding RNA of Pelobates cultripes (western spadefoot toad), 1082 nucleotides long. The record is from the annotation of a GenBank genome assembly. Lineage: Eukaryota; Metazoa; Chordata; Amphibia; Anura; Pelobatidae.
UUAACCACAGAGGCAGUCAUGAUAAAAAAAAUUCACGUUUACAAAGUGCUCUGUGGACUAAAUUUGUGCUUGAAACAGUGAUAAUUAGGUCUCACAAUGUGCCUUUUUUGUUUACUCUGUUAGUGCCACUUUAUAAAAACACAUUUAAUAGUACAAUAUUAUUACUACAUAGUCUUUAAAACUGACAAAAUACAUGACAUAUAUUAAGAGGUGAAGAAAUUAAGAAGAUAUUCUUGAAGCCUAUUAUAACACCCUUAAUAUGUUAUAUAUUAAUAUUUUUAGUGAAUAGUAAAAUAGAACUAUUAUUAUUAAACUCUUAUAUUUUAGAUUAUUCUUUUAUUUUGGACAGUUGUUGAAUUGACUUUUGUCGGUGCCUGCUUUAUAGACCUGUAUGUAUUACAGCAUCUAAUUAAACUGGAGUUUCAGCCCCACAGUCACUUAUAAUGAAGCUGUUCUACGGGAUUUGUUUUGAUUUUCAUCAAUAUUAAUGGAGUGUACACAUGCAAACAGAAAAAUCAGUCGGCUACAAGUUGUUGUGUUUUUUUUGUUGUUUUUUUUAACACAGAAAUAUAAAAUGAACAUCUGUCAAUUUAAAUCAAUGCGAGAAUUGCUUUGCUUUAUUAUAUUAAAAUAUAAUGUAUAUUAAACUAUAGCAGGUCACAAAUUUAAAAUUCUAUCUGAUUUCCUGCAUUGUUUACAGAAGGAAUAGACACAUUUGAUAAUUCAAUUAGACUUUAUGUGCUGUUAAAGUACCGUAUAUUUUUCUAUGCCAAACUGCAACAUUUUAAUCAUUACGACAGCACAGACUGAUAUACAUAAGUUUCUUCUUGGCUUAAAAUUCUCACCAUGCAUCAGCAGAAAGUGCAAUAACAUCUAAACGAAAAGAUACACGCUCCAUGAAUUACUUCUAUAAAAUGACUUGCUUGGGAACCAAUAAGCUGAAUAGGACACCGUCAAUAUGCCACUAACAUCCUUUGGGAUAGUUUAUAAUAAAAUGUAACUGUAACCAUAUGACCACGCAUGAAUAAUUUGUUUAUUUUCUCUCAUACAGAAACUGCAUCUGUAAUAGGUUGCAAUCAACC